AGAGGGCCGUACACGAGAGGCGUCAUCGCCUCCGCCAGACCGAAUAAUGAGUUCACCUUACCUGAAAAUUGCAAACUCAUCUACAGCUACCAACUUGGAAGUAAGAGAUCUAACAGCGAGUAGACCCAUUCCGUUCAGAGUGUCUACCAGAGGAGC
Molecule: long non-coding RNA, 156 nt
Organism: Aricia agestis (brown argus)
Lineage: Eukaryota; Metazoa; Arthropoda; Insecta; Lepidoptera; Lycaenidae
Exons: 2
Source: RefSeq, a predicted model, not a curated record